GCCUGCUGCUGCUGCUCUCCCUAGUCUAUAAGUCAAGUAAAGGAAGCAAAUGCAGCCCUGGGGAAGAUGGAGUUUCAGUUCCUCUGCUUUGCAUAAGUGGUGCAGACUGUGAAGUAUGUGAAGCUUUCUCACCAGAUCCAGCUGAAAGACCAGCCUCAGAGUUUCCAACCAUCUCUAUCACAGAAGCAAGCAGACGAAAAACAAUGUGAUGGGAGAGGAGGUGAAUCCCCUUCUUGUUUGCCACUAAGAAGCUCUCAAACUAAAGAAGCUUCUGAUGAUCACAUCUACAGUGGCAUCACAUAAGAAAGGGAGACUCAAAGAGCAUUUGAACUUCAUAGUUAAAAAUCAACACUUCAAACUCAAGUGCAUAUAUCAGCUUCAGAAGAAACGGAAAUAAAAAAGGUGACGAGGACGUGUACUAAAGAUGGGCUCUCUCUUAUAGUGAGGCCUUGACAGAUCUGCAGGAGGGUUGGCACUACACCUCUCAUUAAGAUGACAGCAGUCAGCCUUCCUGCUGACUCCCAGUCCUGAAGAGGGACGUGGAUCUCUUUGGCAGGUUGUUACCUCUGUACCCUGUAGUCCUUCUCGCAGUGAGUAGGAGUGGUAAAAAACCUCAAGCAGAAAUGACACCCGGAGUUUGUCUUCCUUAAGUCCCAGGGAAGCACCUCCACCAUCGUUCUGCCCAAACUGGGUUGCCGCGUUUUGACUUUGGAGAAACCUGCACAGCAUCAAACCACUUUCUUCAUAAAAGGCAGCGUGCCUUGGGGGGGCUGACAGGCCUUUGCAGGUGCUUAGAUGCAGGUCAAGAGACUUUUAAAAAACUUCAUAUUCUUGUUGAUCAAAUUGUAAGUGGGGCUUUCUGGUAUCACUUUUUAAGGUUUUGGCUUUCUAGUUCAUCAACUGCCUGUCACUGACUACCGCAACAGCAGGAUUCUCUUCUUAUUCAUGCCAUCCAAAACUGUAAGGGCUGUGUCGGUAUGUAGCUCAUGCCAGCUAUGUUCAACAGCUUAGUUUACAGCUAGUCUUGCAAAGUCAUUCAUUGAGAUUCUUCUCACAUUUUACUAUAUAAAAUCCGUUGAAUAAAUGUGGAAAGAAAAAAAAAUCUCAUCUAAUUUAGAAGUCCAGACAGGAAAAUCUUCCAGAUGGGACCAUUGUCAGAGUUUGUUGGUGUUCUUGCUCAAUUAGCUUGGCAGUGAACUUUAUGAAAGCAGAGCUGCUUACACGGUCACAGAAUAUGCAUGGCCCCCUAGAUGUCACCGCAUAACUAAUUAAAAAUAUGUCAUUUUCAAUGUAACCUGAUGUACAAGAUGUAGCCUCUUCCCAUUUUAAAGUGGCAAAACCGCUUCUACGCACAUACAGUUUGUAUUAUGCAGCCAUCUAGAGGGCCUUCUCUCUGUACUGACUUCAUGCUGUUGAAGAGAAACCACAAAACUGUAGGAAAAUAUAAGCUUUACUGACCCUUAGUGG
Cygnus olor (mute swan) is the source of this 1467-nucleotide long non-coding RNA. RefSeq lists it as uncharacterized. The record is from RefSeq and is a predicted model, not a curated record. The transcript has 3 exons. NCBI's taxonomy places the organism in Eukaryota, Metazoa, Chordata, Aves, Anseriformes, Anatidae.